This 76-nucleotide transfer RNA is filed under the name bacterium. RNAcentral describes it as "tRNA-Thr". It matches the Rfam family "tRNA". From Rfam's summary of the family: Transfer RNA (tRNA) molecules are approximately 80 nucleotides in length. Their secondary structure includes four short double-helical elements and three loops (D, anti-codon, and T loops). RNAcentral also lists the same sequence under 1 other name. The record is from RNAcentral.
GCCACCGUAGCUCAGUUGGUAGAGCAAUACUUUCGUAAAGUAGAGGUCGGCGGUUCAAAUCCGCCCGGUGGCUCCA